ACGAACGCUGGCGGCGUGCCUAAUACAUGCAAGUAGAACGCUGAAGGAGGAGCUUGCUUCUCUGGAUGAGUUGCGAACGGGUGAGUAACGCGUAGGUAACCUGCCUGGUAGCGGGGGAUAACUAUUGGAAACGAUAGCUAAUACCGCAUAAUAGCAGUUGUUGCAUGACAACUGUUUGAAAGGUGCAAUUGCACCACUACCAGAUGGACCUGCGUUGUAUUAGCUAGUUGGUGGGGUAACGGCUCACCAAGGCGACGAUACAUAGCCGACCUGAGAGGGUGAUCGGCCACACUGGGACUGAGACACGGCCCAGACUCCUACGGGAGGCAGCAGUAGGGAAUCUUCGGCAAUGGACGGAAGUCUGACCGAGCAACGCCGCGUGAGUGAAGAAGGUUUUCGGAUCGUAAAGCUCUGUUGUAAGGGAAGAACGAGUGUGAGAGUGGAAAGUUCACACUGUGACGGUAUCUUACCAGAAAGGGACGGCUAACUACGUGC
Molecule: ribosomal RNA, 495 nt
Filed under: uncultured bacterium
Lineage: Bacteria
Description: partial 16S ribosomal RNA
Rfam family: Bacterial small subunit ribosomal RNA
Source: RNAcentral